GCCCGGGUGGUGGAACCUGGUAGACACGUACGUUUGAGGGGCGUAUGGCGUGAGCCGUGCGGGUUCAAAUCCCGCCCCGGGCA
RNAcentral lists this transfer RNA (83 nucleotides) under Candidatus Hinthialibacter antarcticus. RNAcentral describes it as "tRNA-Leu". It matches the Rfam family "tRNA". From Rfam's summary of the family: Transfer RNA (tRNA) molecules are approximately 80 nucleotides in length. Their secondary structure includes four short double-helical elements and three loops (D, anti-codon, and T loops). The record is from RNAcentral. Lineage: Bacteria; Candidatus Hinthialibacterota; Candidatus Hinthialibacteria; Candidatus Hinthialibacterales; Candidatus Hinthialibacteraceae.